This is a long non-coding RNA of Colossoma macropomum (tambaqui), 467 nucleotides long. RefSeq lists it as uncharacterized. NCBI's taxonomy places the organism in Eukaryota, Metazoa, Chordata, Actinopteri, Characiformes, Serrasalmidae. The transcript is spliced from 2 exons. The record is from RefSeq and is a predicted model, not a curated record.
UAUUCAUCCAUCAUCAGGUAUUCAGUAUCUGUUGUUUUUUUCACAGUUUCAAGCUCAGCAGUCUGCUGUAUGAGAUGAACAGGUCAGUCAUCAGUUGCACUUCAUCCUCCUGCAAAACUCCAGCUUAAUUCCUGCUUCUCCAGCUGUUUUAUUGUGUAGUUGCUUUUUUUAACUGUUGUCAGACAUUUUACUUCUCUGUUUUGUGGUCUGGCUUUUGUCAUCAGUUUCAGGGCAACACCACAAAACUAAACAGAGACCACCAGAAUAGACGUUCUCAGCUUCUCAGACUAAAAGUGUCAUGUUCUCAGAUGGUGGGAGGACUUAAUGGGUAAUGGAGGUCCUAAACAACACCCCCUGACAUUCACUAAACCACCCCCACAUACUACAACUGUCCAUUGCAUGUAUAUUGUAAAAGGGUCAAAAUGAUAAUAAUUGUAAAUUUUUAAAUAAAGGCGUUUCAUAUUUUU